CCUACGGGUGGCAGCAGUGAGGAAUAUUGGUCAAUGGGCGAGAGCCUGAACCAGCCAAGUCGCGUGAGGGAGUACGGCCCUAUGGGUUGUAAACUUCUUUUAUAUGGGAAUAAAAUGUUCCACGUGUGGGAUUUUGUAUGUACCAUAUGAAUAAGCAUCGGCUAACUCCGUGCCAGCAGCCGCGGUAAUACGGAGGAUCCGAGCGUUAUCCGGAUUUAUUGGGUUUAAAGGGAGCGUAGGUGGAUUGUUAAGUCAGUUGUGAAAGUUUGCGGCUCAACCGUAAAAUUGCAGUUGAAACUGGCAGUCUUGAGUACAGUAGAGGUGGGCGGAAUUCGUGGUGUAGCGGUGAAAUGCUUAGAUAUCACGAAGAACUCCGAUUGCGAAGGCAGCUCACUGGACUGCAACUGACACUGAGGCUCGAAAGUGUGGGUAUCAAACAGGAUUAGAUACCCCAGUAGUC
This 460-nucleotide ribosomal RNA is filed under the name uncultured bacterium. Its description in RNAcentral is "partial 16S ribosomal RNA". It matches the Rfam family "Bacterial small subunit ribosomal RNA", at positions 338 to 795 of the family's 1533-position model. The record is from RNAcentral.